This is a non-coding RNA of Microcebus murinus (gray mouse lemur), 1134 nucleotides long. NCBI's taxonomy places the organism in Eukaryota, Metazoa, Chordata, Mammalia, Primates, Cheirogaleidae. The record is from RefSeq and is a predicted model, not a curated record.
CACUUCCCUUGGCUUCUGUUCUCACGCCCAGACAAGCUCUGCAGGAGUGGAGCUCCCGGAGCCCAGGACCGGGACCUGAACGGAAGGCAACCAACCCACAGGCUGGGAGGCCGGUUCCAUAACAAAUGUUCCAGACUUACGUUCCACAUAAGCAUUGUCACCUGGGGAAGUAGGUCAGUGAAGGGACGGCUCAGGAUUAGAGACUAUGGUAGGAGAUAAGAAGAUCUUUGAGACCUGGACAACCUCCUGCAAGAGGCCUCUCCUCAGGGCAGCUCCAGCGCGGACCUGGGAACUGAGCACCUAAGCUGGCCGAGAUGGAGUUAGAGGGCGCGCGCUGCAAGAGGGACCUGAGAGACUUCAAGACAAGACAUGUGGGAAGCUGGCCAAGGCAUGGGGCCCCGUGAGAAACCCCAGAUGAAGUCGAUCUUCUCUGGGCCCAAUGCAAGGAUGGCAGGUGAAAUUGAACUCGAGCACACGCAAGGUAAGGCAUAUGGAGCGAAAGCUCAUCUCAGCAUCUUUUAUGAGACAUGACGGGACUCAGGGUAGAGCCCUGAGAGGCUGGGGCCAGCCACAGGGAGUGGGACUCACUCAGUUCAGGGCAGAGGCCUACCUUAGCCAGUUGGAGAGGGGCCCUGGGCUCUGGACUCCUGAACAGUUGCUGUGCCCCAUAGGGGUCUGGUGUCAUCUCGGAUCCCACCUGGCAUUGCUUGGUAGGAUCGUCACAUGUCCUUUACCUUACGUGAGGAAAAGGAGGCCCUCACAGGUGGAGAGAACUGCCCAUAGGCAGCUGGUUAGACAGAGGCUGAGUCAGGACCAGAAGCUGGGCCCUUGGCUUCCAGUCAGAGCACCUCCACUCCACCUUGUGCAGGUACCCCCUACCUGCGACAGGUAAACAGCAGCCUCACAGCCCUCAGCUGGAGGUGGGGGCUAGUGGGAAGCCCAGGGAGCCCCAGUUCUCAUGCACUCUUUGACUCCACUCAUGUCUUCCAACAAAUGCUCUUUGAGUACUUAUUAUAUAUCAUGCGUUGUCACACGUGGGGAUUAAAGUUAUGAGGCUGGGAGUCAGACUUUGGUCAUUUACCCUUUGAGCUUUGAUUUCCUCACCUGGAAAAUGGGCAACAUUAAUUCUUGUGC